UGGCGACCGGCGCACGGGUGAGUAACACGUAUCCAACCUGCCGAUAACUCGGGGAUAGCCUUUCGAAAGAAAGAUUAAUAUCCGAUAGCAUAUUGAGAUCGCAUGAUUUUGAUAUUAAAGAAUUUCGGUUAUCGAUGGGGAUGCGUUCCAUUAGUUUGUUGGCGGGGUAACGGCCCACCAAGACUACGAUGGAUAGGGGUUCUGAGAGGAAGGUCCCCCACAUUGGAACUGAGACACGGUCCAA
This 244-nucleotide ribosomal RNA is filed under the name uncultured bacterium. RNAcentral's name for it is "partial 16S ribosomal RNA". It matches the Rfam family "Bacterial small subunit ribosomal RNA", at positions 89 to 334 of the family's 1533-position model. The record is from RNAcentral.